This is a ribosomal RNA of 117 nucleotides. It matches the Rfam family "5.8S ribosomal RNA", at positions 1 to 116 of the family's 154-position model. From Rfam's summary of the family: 5.8S ribosomal RNA (5.8S rRNA) is a component of the large subunit of the eukaryotic ribosome. It is transcribed by RNA polymerase I as part of the 45S precursor that also contains 18S and 28S rRNA.
AAAACUUUCAACAACGGAUCUCUGGGUUCUCGCAUCGAUGAAGAGCGCAGCGAAAUGCGAUACCUAGUGUGAAUUGCAGCCAUCGUGAAUCAUCGAGUUCUUGAACGCACAUUGCGC